UAGAAAUUUUCUUUUUAUUUCUUUCUCUAUAUUAUUAUUAUUUUUUCUUUCUCUUUCCUUUUUUCCAUCUCCCCAGCAGGUAUAACUAUAGAGAAUGUUGAGUAGAGUUGUUUGGCUUUGCUUCUAUAGCUGUAUGCACUUCUGAUGGCAACUUUUAUACUGGGCUGUGCGCUUCAAACUCUAAGCCUGUAGAUGGCACUUAUAGGUAUGAGCUGGUUGCAGCCAAUUUGGGGAUAUACUUGACCUUUGUUUACUGGGAGAAGCUCCCUGUUGCUUCAGGUAAAUGGGCUGAUCCAUGGAGUGCACAGUGGUCUGAGCUUCCUGUUUAGCCCCUGGUGAGUGGGGGACAUGAUGGAUGGAGCUGGACCAGGCGAGUCUGCCUACAGGCUCCAGGGACAAGCACAAGUGCUGAGGGAGAAUCCAGUGAGCAGCCAUCAAGUACCUAGAGGUGCACCUAGGCAUGGAGCUGGGAAACCUCUUUAGCCCCAAGUUCACUGCACAGGGAUGGGGGAUGGCCUAAACUCCUUAUCCAGGAGAGGGGGCACUCCAGGUGCCUGGAGAUCUGCCUGGGUGUGGAGUGAAGAGGUCCCUGCUUCACCAGGAUCUCUAUAUAGGAAGAAUGGCAUAGGUCAGAAUGCCAAUCCAGGUGAGUGGGUACUUUGAAUACCUGGAGAUCUGCCUAUUGUGGAGCAGAGAAAGCCCCGUUUCACCACAAUCUAUACUCAGGAAGGUUGAGGUGGCUCAAGCUGCUGAACUAAGCAAAUGGGUCCUCCAAAUGCCUGGAGAUCUGCCUGGGCAUGGAGCAGAAAAGGCCCCACUAUAUCUUGAUCUAUGUCUAUGAAGGGUGGGGCAGCUCAGGCUGCUGGUCCAGGCAAACAGGUACUCCAAAUGCCUGGAUUUCUGCCUGUGGCUAGAGUGGAUAGGGCCCCACUGCACCAUGAUCUCAGGGGAACAGGAUGGAGCACCCAGAAAUGGCGUGCACAGACUGGUUCCAAGUCACUAAGCUGACCCUGGCUGCAAGUCUUGCUGCUCAGGAGAAACUGCAGUGGUAGCAGCUCCCAUCCCAUCCUAGUCUUGCAAUGGGGAAUAACAAAAUUCCAGUGCCUACUGCUGAGGUACUUUUCAUAGUUCUAGCUCUGGAGACCCCUAUGCCACUCUAGAGCAGGCACUCCAGUCUCUGACCUGAGACUAAAAUGCCUGCAUGGCUACACUGCCAGGUUGCUAAAGAAUGGCUGACUUUAUGUCCCUGGGUUAAAACACAUCCUGCUUUUGGUCCCAGGUCUGGGAAAAUGCCUGUAGUGUUCCCCAGUGUCUUUUUUCUCAUAGCAUCUCCAAGCUCCUCCCCAGGUUGGCUGCAAGGCUUAGGAUAAACAAGGUGUCCUCCCUUGGCCUGGGUUGCUCGGAUCCCCAGUGGAAAGGUGUGGAUCUGUUUCAGUUUAUCCUACUUAGAGAUUGUUGAGCUUCUUGGAUGUUGAGCUUCUUGGACAUGAAGAUUAAUGUUUUUCAUCAAAUGUAAGUUUUCAGUCAUUAUUCACAUUUUUUUCUGCUCCUUUGCCUUUUUUCUCUAAGUAUGUCACCUUUGUGUAGCAGAAAAAGAAAAGGCAUACAUGACUGGAUUAGGGGCCUCAUCACAUGUCAGGGGCCAGCUCUGCAAGUCUUGUACUUUGGAAAAAGAACCAACUAGCCUGUUCAGCGAUACAAAUGUCAGAAAGUUGAGAAUGCCUGGAUUUCAAAUAUCCUAAUAGACUAUAGAGGAGAUAUGUUUGGUGAAGGAAAUCCUUUCCGGAAUCCUCCAAGUCAUAAUGUAAAUGGUUGCCUACUAAUUCUCAGCCCUUAAAUCUAGUCCUAGUAAGCCCUGAUAAACUGACUCAUACAAGAUGGGAAUGCCUACCAUGAAAUGCUGAGAUGGGAUAUGACAGUGACAACAAAGGCUGCUGCUGUAAUGUGAUCUCUCCAGAUGGGUUCUUUCAUCUUAGGUAAAAAGGUAUUGGUUUUGAAAAUGCUCCCAAGGAAAGCUGCAUACAAAUAUCCAUCUCAGAGUCUAAUUCCAAGGAACCCAGUCCAGAUGGCUGCCUUCCAGAGUCUGGGUUCUCUGCCACUGUUUGAUAUUGGUCAGUCCCUGGACUGUGAGCUCCCUGAGGACACACAGUGCUACAUCAAGUUACUUGGAGCCCUAGGACAACUUCCAUCUCAAGUGAUCCUCUUCCAUAUCAGGGAAUCAUCAAAUGCUUGCUGAAUAAAUUGCCACCCUCUUUGGACUUUGAAAAACGAAGUAUCCUUUUCUCAAAAAUAUGUAGGAGAAUAACAUUUAUACCCUGUAUUAGUUUUUUAGAGCUGCCAUAACAAAAUGCC
Molecule: long non-coding RNA, 2352 nt
Filed under: Homo sapiens (human)
Lineage: Eukaryota; Metazoa; Chordata; Mammalia; Primates; Hominidae
Description: HSALNT0367452
Source: RNAcentral